This 254-nucleotide ribosomal RNA is filed under the name uncultured bacterium. RNAcentral's name for it is "partial 16S ribosomal RNA". It matches the Rfam family "Bacterial small subunit ribosomal RNA", at positions 524 to 776 of the family's 1533-position model. The record is from RNAcentral.
UACGGGGGGAGCAAGCGUUGUUCGGAUUUACUGGGCGUAAAGGGCGCGUAGGCGGUCAGCACAAGUCAGUUGUGAAAUCUCCGGGCUUAACUCGGAAAGGUCAACUGAUACUGUGCGACUAGAGUGCGGAAGGGGCAACUGGAAUUCUCGGUGUAGCGGUGAAAUGCGUAGAUAUCGAGAGGAACACCUGCGGCGAAGGCGGCCUUCUGGACAGCAACUGACGCUGAGACGCGAAAGCGUGGGGAGCAAACAGG